AUAUGGGGGGACCAUCCUCCAAGGCUAAAUACUCCUGACUGACCGAUAGUGAACCAGUACCGUGAGGGAAAGGCGAAAAGAACCCCGGCGAGGGGAGUGAAAAAGAACCUGAAACCGUGUACGUACAAGCAGUGGGAGCACCCUUUGGGGUGUGACUGCGUACCUUUUGUAUAAUGGGUCAGCGACUUAUAUUCUGUAGCAAGGUUAACCGUAUAGGGGAGCCGGAGGGAAACCGAGUCUUAACCGGGCGUUAAGUUGCAGGGUAUAGACCCGAAACCCGGUGAUCUAGCCAUGGGCAGGUUGAAGGUUGGGUAACACUAACUGGAGGACCGAACCGACUAAUGUUGAAAAAUUAGCGGAUGACCUGUGGCUGGGGGUGAAAGGCCAAUCAAACCGGGAGAUAGCUGGUUCUCCCCGAAAGCUAUUUAGGUAGCGCCUCGUGAACUCAUCUCCGGGGGUAGAGCACUGUUUCGGCUAGGGGGCCAUCCCGGCUUACCAACCCGAUGCAAACUGCGAAUACCGGAGAAUGUUAUCACGGGAGACACACGGCGGGUGCUAACGUCCGUCGUGAAGAGGGAAACAACCCAGACCGCCAGCUAAGGUCCCAAAGUCAUGGUUAAGUGGGAAACGAUGUGGGAAGGCCCAGACAGCCAGGAUGUUGGCUUAGAAGCAGCCAUCAUUUAAAGAAAGCGUAAUAGCUCACUGGUCGAGUCGGCCUGCGCGGAAGAUGUAACGGGGCUAAACCAU
RNAcentral lists this ribosomal RNA (747 nucleotides) under Salmonella enterica subsp. enterica serovar Albany. RNAcentral describes it as "partial 23S ribosomal RNA". It matches the Rfam family "Bacterial large subunit ribosomal RNA", at positions 442 to 1190 of the family's 2925-position model. The record is from RNAcentral. Lineage: Bacteria; Pseudomonadati; Pseudomonadota; Gammaproteobacteria; Enterobacterales; Enterobacteriaceae.